This 374-nucleotide ribosomal RNA is filed under the name uncultured eukaryote. RNAcentral describes it as "partial 18S ribosomal RNA". It matches the Rfam family "Eukaryotic small subunit ribosomal RNA", at positions 592 to 976 of the family's 1831-position model. The record is from RNAcentral.
CAAGAGCGUAUGUAAAAGUUGUUGCAGUUAAAAAGCUCGUAGUUGAACCUUGGGUUUGGUUGGCCGGUCCGCUUUUUUGCGAGUACUGGAUUCAACCGAGCCUUUCCUUCUGGCUAACCAGUCGUUUCGGCGGCUGGCGAACCAGGAUUUUUACUUUGAGAAAAUUAGAGUGUUCAAAGCAGGCAUUAGCUUGAAUAUAUUAGCAUGGAAUAAUAGAAUAGGACGUUAUGGUUCUAUUUUGUUGGUUUCUAGGACCAUCGUAAUGAUUAAUAGGGACGGUCGGGGGCAUCAGUAUUCAGUCGUCAGAGGUGAAAUUCUUGGAUUUACUGAAGACUAACUACUGCGAAAGCAUUUGCCAAGGACGUUUUCAUUAA